GCCCUCAUAGCUCAAUGGUAGAGCAGCUGCCUUUUAAGCAGUUGACGAUGGUCCGAUUCCAUCUGAGGGCA
Molecule: transfer RNA, 71 nt
Filed under: bacterium
Lineage: Bacteria
Description: tRNA-Lys
Rfam family: tRNA
About the family: Transfer RNA (tRNA) molecules are approximately 80 nucleotides in length. Their secondary structure includes four short double-helical elements and three loops (D, anti-codon, and T loops).
Source: RNAcentral